RNAcentral lists this ribosomal RNA (484 nucleotides) under uncultured bacterium. RNAcentral describes it as "partial 16S ribosomal RNA". It matches the Rfam family "Bacterial small subunit ribosomal RNA", at positions 30 to 507 of the family's 1533-position model. The record is from RNAcentral.
AUUGAACGCUGGCGGCAGGCCUAACACAUGCAAGUCGAGCGGAUGAAGGGAGCUUGCUCCUGGAUUCAGCGGCGGACGGGUGAGUAAUGCCUAGGAAUCUGCCUGGUAGUGGGGGAUAACGUCCGGAAACGGGCGCUAAUACCGCAUACGUCCUGAGGGAGAAAGUGGGGGAUCUUCGGACCUCACGCUAUCAGAUGAGCCUAGGUCGGAUUAGCUAGUUGGUGGGGUAAAGGCCUACCAAGGCGACGAUCCGUAACUGGUCUGAGAGGAUGAUCAGUCACACUGGAACUGAGACACGGUCCAGACUCCUACGGGAGGCACCAGUGGGGAAUAUUGGACAAUGGGCGAAAGCCUGAUCCAGCCAUGCCGAGUGUGUGAAGAAGGUCUUCGGAUUGUAAAGCACUUUAAGUUGGGAGGAAGGGCAGUAAGUUAAUACCUUGCUGUUUUGACGUUACCAACAGAAGAAGCACCGGCUAACUUCGUG